This 65-nucleotide transfer RNA is filed under the name Geotrypetes seraphini (Gabon caecilian). It matches the Rfam family "tRNA". From Rfam's summary of the family: Transfer RNA (tRNA) molecules are approximately 80 nucleotides in length. Their secondary structure includes four short double-helical elements and three loops (D, anti-codon, and T loops). Lineage: Eukaryota; Metazoa; Chordata; Amphibia; Gymnophiona; Dermophiidae. The record is from Rfam by way of RNAcentral.
CACUAAGUAGCUAAGAAUUAAAGCAUUAGCCUUUUAAGCUAAUAUCGGUUUAAUACCCUUAGUGU